This 259-nucleotide ribosomal RNA is filed under the name uncultured bacterium. Its description in RNAcentral is "partial 16S ribosomal RNA". It matches the Rfam family "Bacterial small subunit ribosomal RNA", at positions 99 to 353 of the family's 1533-position model. The record is from RNAcentral.
CGCACGGGUGAGUAACGCGUAUGCAACUUACCUAUCAGGAGGGGGAGUAACCCGGCGAAAGUCGGACUAAUACCGCAUGAAGCAGGGGCCCCGCAUGGGGAUAUUUGCUAAAGAUUCAUCGCUGAUAGAUAGGCAUGCGUUCCAUUAGGCAGUUGGCGGGGUAACGGCCCACCAAACCGACGAUGGAUAGGGGUUCUGAGAGGAAGGUCCCCCACAUUGGUACUGAGACACGGACCAAACUCCUACGGGAGGCAGCAUG